This 1258-nucleotide ribosomal RNA is filed under the name metagenome. RNAcentral describes it as "SSU rRNA". It matches the Rfam family "Eukaryotic small subunit ribosomal RNA", at positions 477 to 1759 of the family's 1831-position model. The record is from RNAcentral.
ACCAAGGUGAGGCCCUAUGGGUUUCGCCAUUGGAAUGAGAACAAUAUAAAUCUAUUAACGAGUAACAAGUGGAGGGCAAGUCUGGUGCCAGCAGCCGCGGUAAUUCCAGCUCCACAAGUGUAUUCCUAUAUUGUUGCGGUUAAAAAGCUCGUAGUUGGAUCUGAGUGCUUAGCGGGUGGUACAGUGUUUCACUGUCACUGCUUCGCGGCACAUAACCGUCGACUGGCUGCUGUUGUUGCCUUCACCGGUGACGGCAGUUAGCUAUCGACAUGUUUACUUUGAACAAAUCAGAGUGCUCAAAACAGGCGUUUCGCUUGUAUGUUUUUGCAUGGAAUAAUAGAAUAGGACCUUGGGUCUAUUUUGUUGGUUUUCGGAAUCAUGGUAAUGAUUAAGAGGGACAGACGGGGGCAUUCGUACUGCAACGGGAGAGGUGAAAUUCUUGGAUCGUUGCAAGACGAACUACUGCGAAAGCAUUUGCCAAGAAUGUUUUCAUUAAUCAAGAACGAAAGUAACGGGUUCGAAGGCGAUCAGAUACCGCCCUAGUCGUUACCGUAAACGAUUGUAACCGGGAGCUAGCAGGCGCUUUACUAUGGCUCUGCUAGAACCCACCCGGAAACGAAGAGUUUUCGAUAUCCGGGGGAAGUAUACUUGCAAAUGUGAAACUUAAAGGAAUUGACGGAAGGGCACCACCAGGGGUGGAGCCUGCGGCUUAAUUUGACCCAACACGGGGAAACUCAUCCGGUCCGGACACCGUAAGGAUUGACAGAUUGAGAGCUCUUUCUUGAUUUGGUGGGCAGUGGUGCAUGGCCGUUCUUAGUUGGUGGAGCGAUUUGUCUGGUUUAUUCCGAUAACGAACGAGACUCUAGCCUACUAACUAGUUAUGCGAUCUUCUUGUCGUAUUAACUUCUUAGAGGGACAAGCGGUGCUCAGCCGCAUGAAAAAGAGCAAUAACAGGUCUGUGAUGCCCUUCGAUGUUCGGAGCUGCACGCGCGCUACACUGUAGAAUGCAACGUGCUAGCUUGCCUCGCUCGCAAGAGUGGGGUAAUCGGUUGAAAUUUCUACGUGAUUGGGAUAGGGACUUGUAAUUAUUUCCCUUGAACGAGGAAUCCCUAGUAAGUGCAGGUCAUCAGCUUGUGCUGAUUACGUCCCUGCCCUUUGUACACACCGCCCGUCGCUGCCCGGAACUGAGCCAUUUCGAGAAAAAUGGGGACUGAUUGCUUGUGAGCACGCAAGUGCUUCUUGCAGUCGGAAACCAUCU